This is a long non-coding RNA of Rhineura floridana, 417 nucleotides long. RefSeq lists it as uncharacterized. NCBI's taxonomy places the organism in Eukaryota, Metazoa, Chordata, Lepidosauria, Squamata, Rhineuridae. The record is from RefSeq and is a predicted model, not a curated record. The transcript is spliced from 3 exons.
AUAUGAUGGCACUCUUCAAGAACUUGAAAGGUUGUCACAACAGAGGAGGGCCAGGAUCUCUUCUCCAUCAUCCCAGAGUGCAGGACAUGGAAUAAUGGGCUCAAGCUACAGGAAGCCAGAUUUUGGUUGAACCUCAGGAAAAACUUCCUGUUAGAGUGGUCUGACCUGUUAGGAGAAGAAUCAGAACGCAGCACUCCAGCUGGAAGACCUCUUUCCUGGAGAGAAACAGAGAUUUAUAUGAAACUGUUUCAAGGGAUGAUGUUAUCAAUCCACGCAAGGUCAUGUUGGGAGAAGACGAAGUCUAGCAUCUUCCGGACUAAAAUCAAGGCUAAAAUCUAAAAGAAGAGGGAAAAACCCACCAGGACAAGGCUCCAGUCAUUUAGCAUCACUUUCAACACUGCUAGUUGUGCAGCAAAA